GAUGAACGCUGGCGGCGUGCCUAAUACAUGCAAGUCGAGCGAACGGACGAGAAGCUUGCUUCUCUGAUGUUAGCGGCGGACGGGUGAGUAACACGUGGAUAACCUACCUAUAAGACUGGGAUAACUUCGGGAAACCGGAGCUAAUACCGGAUAAUAUUUUGAACCGCAUGGUUCAAAAGUGAAAGACGGUCUUGCUGUCACUUAUAGAUGGAUCCGCGCUGCAUUAGCUAGUUGGUAAGGUAACGGCUUACCAAGGCAACGAUGCAUAGCCGACCUGAGAGGGUGAUCGGCCGCACUGGAACUGAGACACGGUCCAGACUCCUACGGGAGGCAGCAGUAGGGAAUCUUCCGCAAUGGGCGAAAGCCUGACGGAGCAACGCCGCGUGAGUGAUGAAGGUCUUCGGAUCGUAAAACUCUGUUAUUAGGGAAGAACAUAAGUGUAAGUAACUGUGCACAUCUUGACGGUACCUAAUCAGAAAGCCACGGCUAACUACGUG
RNAcentral lists this ribosomal RNA (497 nucleotides) under uncultured bacterium. RNAcentral's name for it is "partial 16S ribosomal RNA". It matches the Rfam family "Bacterial small subunit ribosomal RNA", at positions 28 to 507 of the family's 1533-position model. The record is from RNAcentral.